This 960-nucleotide unclassified non-coding RNA is filed under the name Hevea brasiliensis (rubber tree). The record is from RNAcentral. Lineage: Eukaryota; Viridiplantae; Streptophyta; Magnoliopsida; Malpighiales; Euphorbiaceae.
UCAAAGUCCGGCAAUUGAUUGUGAUUUGCAACCUUGUGCUUUAUCUGAUAUUUUUCCACGCCCUUAUGGUCAGUUCUAUGGAAUGUCUGGCUUUUUUGUGGUUUAUCGGUUUUUUAAUCUGACUUCAGAAGCUACACUUGAUGAUGUUUUGGAGAAGGGUCAAGAAUUCUGUGAAAAGACCUGGGAAGUUGCAAGGAACAGUGUUUCCCCACAGCCUUUUAUUGAACAAUACUGCUUUAGGGCACCAUACAUAGUGUUAUUGUUGAGAGAGGGUUUACAUAUCACAGAUGACCAAUAAUUAUUUAAUAAUUAUUGGUUCUGGAAGUAUUACUUGGACUCUGGGGGUUGCUCUAUUUGAAGCUGGGAAAGCAUUUUCACCGAGACUGAGACUUCCUAGUUAUCAAAUACUCCAAAUGAGGAUACAUCCAGCAGUUCUUAUUGUCACUUUGAUUAUUUCCUUGAUUUUGCUGGUUUGUGCAAUUUCAUGUCUUGCAAAUUGGAUGCCAAGAAUUUUGCGAAUACCAUUUCUUCUGCUUUUCAGGCAUAACAGUGCAUCUGCUACGUCUGUUCUUAGUAUGCCUUCACCAUUCCGGUUCCAACGAUGGAGUCCUAUUAGUUCUGGGGACGGACGAGCAAAGAUGCCACUUAGUCCAACAAUUGCUGGGAGCCAACAAACAUCAUUUGGGUUGGGGCAUGGUCUAGGCAGUAGUGGCAUCCAGCUUAUGGAGUCAUCUUUAUACCCAUCAACUAGUGGUGUAUCACAUAGUUAUUCCUCAAGUAGCUUAGGGCAGAUGAUUGACAGUAAUAGCAUGGGCUCGUUCUGGUCUCCUCACAGAAGUCAGAUGAGUCUUCAGAGCAGAAGAUCACAAUCUCGAGAAGACCUUAGUUCUUCUUUGGNUCGACACGCACAUGGUGAAGGUUUAAGGAAUAGACUUCCUGAAGUUAUGGUAUGGUAACUUU